Molecule: unclassified non-coding RNA, 395 nt
Filed under: uncultured fungus
Lineage: Eukaryota; Fungi
Description: sequence contains ITS1
Rfam family: 5.8S ribosomal RNA (bases 1-105)
Source: RNAcentral
CAGCUGCGAGAUUUGGUGUGAAUUGCAGGACACAUUGAGCACUGAUUUUUCGAACGCACAUUGCGGCCUCGGGUCCUGCCCGGGGCCUCGCCUGUCUGAGGGUCGGAUAAGACUUGCAAAGGAAAAAUUAUUCUUUUUCCAAUUGGCCGCGUCGGAGUCCUUGAUUGGAUUUCGUCGGCUUAAGUAUUUAUAGGAUCCUCCCCGGUCGAGAGAGCUCAAGCCCUAGUGCAUGCUCGUCGCUCGGAGAAGACGGACAACGUUUCUCCACGAAGACGAGACGGUUUGAUGCUAAGAAGACUAUUCAGUGGGAAGAGAGCCUACAUAGACUAUUAUAGUCUAUUUGAAGCAUUAUUAUUGACGACCUCAGAUCAGACGAGAUGACCCGCUGAAUUUAA